Molecule: ribosomal RNA, 459 nt
Filed under: uncultured bacterium
Lineage: Bacteria
Description: bacterial SSU rRNA
Rfam family: Bacterial small subunit ribosomal RNA
Source: RNAcentral
AUGAACGCUGGCGGCGUGCCUAAUACAUGCAAGUCGAACGGGGAUUUCAGUAAUGAGGUCCUAGUGGCGAACGGGUGAGUAACGCGUUGGUGACCUGCCCCGAAGAGAGGGAUAACAGACCGAAAGGUUUGCUAAUACCGCAUAAGCUCGAGCUAGUCAGAGAGGCUUGAGGAAAGGCCGAAAGGCGCUUUGGGAGGGGCCUGCGUCCCAUCAGCUAGUUGGCGAGGUAAAAGCUCACCAAGGCGAUGACGGGUAGGGGACCUGAGAGGGUGACCCCCCACAAUGGAACUGAAACACGGUCCAUACACCUACGGGUGGCAGCAGUAGGGAAUAUUGGUUAAUGGGCGAAAGCCUGACCCAGCAACGCCGCGUGCGCGAUGAAGGCCUUCGGGUUGUAAAGCGCUUUUAAGUGGGAUGAGGAAGGACAGUACCACUAGAAUAAGUCUCGGCUAACUACGU